Molecule: ribosomal RNA, 305 nt
Filed under: uncultured bacterium
Lineage: Bacteria
Description: bacterial SSU rRNA
Rfam family: Bacterial small subunit ribosomal RNA
Source: RNAcentral
GCCUACGGGGGGCAGCAGUGAGGAAUAUUGGUCAGUGGGCGCGAGCCUGAACCAGCCAAGUCGCGUGAGGGAAGACGGUCCUAUGGAUUGUAAACCUCUUUUGUCGGGGAGCAAAAGACGCCACGUGUGGCGUUCCGAGAGUACCCGAAGAAAAAGCAUCGGCUAACUCCGUGCCAGCAGCCGCGGUAAUACGGAGGAUGCGAGCGUUAUCCGGAUUUAUUGGGUUUAAAGGGUGCGCAGGCGGAAGAUCAAGUCAGCGGUAAAAUUGAGAGGCUCAACCUCUUCGAGCCGUUGAAACUGGUUUU